GACGAACGCUGGCGGCGUGCUUAACACAUGCAAGUCGAACGCUGAAGCACCAGCUUGCUGGUGUGGAUGAGUGGCGAACGGGUGAGUAAUACGUGAGUAACCUGCCCUUGACUCUGGGAUAAGCCCGGGAAACUGGGUCUAAUACUGGAUGCUACAUGUCACCGCAUGGUGGUGUGUGGAAAGGGUUUACUGGUCUUGGAUGGGCUCACGGCCUAUCAGCUUGUUGGUGAGGUAAUGGCUCACCAAGGCGACGACGGGUAGCCGGCCUGAGAGGGUGACCGGCCACAAUGGGACUGAGACACGGCCCAGACUCCUACGGGAGGCAGCAGUGGGGAAUAUUGCACAAUGGGCGAAAGCCUGAUGCAGCGACGCCGCGUGAGGGAUGACGGCCUUCGGGUUGUAAACCUCUUUCAGCAGGGAAGAAGCCACAAGUGACGGUACCUGCAGAAGAAGCGCCGGCUAACUACGUG
This 470-nucleotide ribosomal RNA is filed under the name uncultured bacterium. RNAcentral's name for it is "partial 16S ribosomal RNA". It matches the Rfam family "Bacterial small subunit ribosomal RNA", at positions 28 to 507 of the family's 1533-position model. The record is from RNAcentral.